RNAcentral lists this ribosomal RNA (253 nucleotides) under uncultured bacterium. RNAcentral describes it as "partial 16S ribosomal RNA". It matches the Rfam family "Bacterial small subunit ribosomal RNA", at positions 524 to 776 of the family's 1533-position model. The record is from RNAcentral.
UACGGAGGGUGCAAGCGUUAUCCGGAUUCACUGGGUUUAAAGGGUGCGUAGGCGGGUAUAUAAGUCAGUUGUGAAAGCUCCGGGCUUAACUUGGAAACUGCCAUUGAUACUGUAUAUCUUGAAUAUCGUAGAGGUUAGCGGAAUGUUGCAUGUAGCGGUGAAAUGCUUAGAUAUGUUACAGAACACCAAUUGCGAAGGCAGCUAACUAUGCGAAAAUUGACGCUGAGGCACGAAAGCGUGGGGAGCAAACAGG